This 1498-nucleotide long non-coding RNA is filed under the name Spirodela polyrhiza (greater duckweed). Its description in RNAcentral is "long non-coding RNA (SPOL_LNC001822)". Lineage: Eukaryota; Viridiplantae; Streptophyta; Magnoliopsida; Alismatales; Araceae. The record is from RNAcentral.
UCAAGUCCAAAGAGCAGAAAAUUAGCAUGAACCAUGAGCCACGUCAACUGAACGAGAGGAAGAGAUUUGAGAGAGACCUGUUGACCAGUUUCGGCCCUGCUGUCGGCAUGGACAGUAAUUAAUACGGCAAUGAAUGCAGCUCCAUCUCAACAUCAGCAAGUAGCCAGUGUACACAGCCGGAGCAGUCCCUGAAGUUCAUGAGACGAGUUCCCUUUGAUACGACUGUUGCUGAGCCCUCAGAAGCAGCCACUCUGUAAAGAACCUACAUGAUCUAACCCGAUGUUCAAUCUAUAGAGAGUCAAACACAGUGUAAAAUCUGAUGCUUCAAGUCUUCUCUCCCCAAGCGCACUGCAGAAAAGUCAGCUCACAAACUAUUUGGUACAGCUGACCAUAUAAAAGAUAACACACCUCUGGCUGUUCUUGAGUACAGGUCAAGUGAAGACAUACAAAGAGAAGAAAAGUUCUGGAAAUCCAGCAUGAAGGACGGCGCCCAACCUGUAUGAGGGAGGAAGGAAAAACGGACGAUAUCAGCAAAUAAAUAACUCGAUGCCUCAAUGGACGACUCCAGAAAGUGAUGGGACUUUGUUGCGUCAACAGGGCCCUGGAAAACGAUACUAUGGAAAGAUGAACCUCUGUCAUCUUAUUUGGCAUCAAUCUUCAAAAAAUAAAUUAUACUAAACAUUUGGCCACCCGAUUUUGUGCCUAAAGAUGUCAUCUGAAAACUUGUUUCAGCAUUGAAAAAUGAGAGCGUGGAUCAUUUACCUCAUGAGAAAGAAAAAGUAGUGUUUGGGUCAUAUACCACCUGGGACAGCAGAUUACAUAAUUGACAUAAGGGAUUUUCAACAACCAUUACUAGAUCAGAGCAUCAGAUACCAAAGAUUUCAUAUUCAGUUUCGUUGCCUAAUUUAAUAUCUGAAAUAAAAAAACUGUUUCUGGGUAUUGAAGAUGAUUCGUGGCUUCUGUUCAAUGAUCUUUGCGACAAUGGCACCCCAGUACCCUUGUUUUUAACUGAAAUGUCUGAGGCUUGAUUAACGGCACCAGUUAAUUGUCAUCACCUGCUGGAGAAGGAUCCUCAAGGGCCGCUGAUUAAUUUGCCUCACUACGUUCAUUGAUCCGAAGAAUUUGGGCAUCCAGAAAUUCAGAAUUCUCGAGCUCCAAGCCUGCCGGAUCCUUCGAAGAAGUGAUCUCCUCCAAAGGAUUAUCAGAAGCAUAAUCGCCAUGAUUUCUCUUGACAAAUAGCUCUGGAGAUUCCCUGAAGCAAUCUGCCAAAAACCACGCGUUACAAGCGAACUAGAAACAGGGCCAUUUCAAGCACUUGGAUAAAAGGCUGAUACCUCUGAAAAUGUAUCUUAAGGCUGAUACUUAAGGCAAGCAUUUAGAGUGCAAUAUAGGCCAGGAGAGGACGAGAUUUCUUUACAUAUGCGACCAAGAAAAACAAUUUAGAAAGAAAAAUGCCCUAAAAAUGUCUCUCCCGGUGCAUCAGACAGAAAAAACUAAC